This 1271-nucleotide ribosomal RNA is filed under the name metagenome. RNAcentral's name for it is "SSU rRNA". It matches the Rfam family "Eukaryotic small subunit ribosomal RNA", at positions 440 to 1801 of the family's 1831-position model. The record is from RNAcentral.
AUUACCCAAUCCUAACUCAGGGAGGUAGUGACAAGAAAUAACAACGCGGGGCUCUGUCUCGCGAUUGGAAUGAGAACAAUGUAAAAGCCUUAACGAGGAUCCACUGGAGGGCAAGUCUGGUGCCAGCAGCCGCGGUAAUACCAGCUCCAGUAGCGUAUAUUAAAGUUGUUGCAGUUAAAAAGCUCGUAGUUGAAAUUCUGUACGGAACGACGUCUUCGGAUGAUCGAGCCGUGCAUCCGCCUGAGCAGCAGGUCGGUACUUUGUUGCCGGUUUGUGAUCAGGCACUUUACCUUGAGCAAAUUAGAGGUUCCAGGCAGGCGUCAGCCUGAAUAGUCCAGCAUGGAAUAAUAGAAGAGGACUGAAAACCACUGUUGGUGUUGUGGUAAUCAGUAAUGAUUAAUAGGGAUAGUUGGGGGCAUUCGUAUUUAAUUGUCAGAGGUGAAAUUCUAUGAUUUAUUAAAGACGAACCUAUGCGAAAGCAUUUGCCAAGGAUGUUUUCAUUAAUCAAGAACGAAAGUUAAGGGAUCAAAGACGAUCAGAUACCGUCGUAGUCUUAACCAUAAACUAUGCCGACUAGAGAUUGGAGGUGCAACUCCAAGACUCCUUCAGCAUCUUACGAGAAAUCAAAGUCUUUGUGUUCUGGGGGGAGUAUGGUCGCAAGACUGAAACUUAAAGGAAUUGACGGAAGGGCACCACCAGGUGUGGAGCCUGCGGCUUAAUUUGACCCAACACGGGGAAACUUACCAGGUCCAGACAUAGCGAGGAUUGACAGACUGACAGCUCUUUCUUGAUUCUAUGGGUGGUGGUGCAUGGCCGUUCUUAGUUGGUGGAGUGAUUUGUCUGGUUAAUUCCGAUAACGAUCGAGACCUCAGCCUGCUAAAUAGUCAGAGUCCGAUUGGGCUUGUGACUUCUUAGAGGGACUGUGGGGGCUACUCCACGGAAGUUUGAGGCAAUAACAGGUCUGUGAUGCCCUUAGAUGUCCUGGGCCGCACGCGCGCUACACUGAUGCAGGCAGCAAGCACCGUGGCAGAAAUGUCUCGGAAAACUACAAACUGCAUCGUGCUGGGGAUUGACUCUUGGAAUUCUUGGUCAUAAACGAGGAAUACCUAGUAAACGCAAGUCAUCAGCUUGCAUUGAUUACGUCCCUGCCCUUUGUACACACCGCCCGUCGCUCCUACCGAUUUGAGUGGUGCGGUGAACCCUUCGGACCGGUACGCCGGAAAGUUGAGUAAACCUUACCACUUAGAGGAAGGAGAAGUCGUAACAAGGUA